RNAcentral lists this ribosomal RNA (460 nucleotides) under uncultured bacterium. RNAcentral describes it as "partial 16S ribosomal RNA". It matches the Rfam family "Bacterial small subunit ribosomal RNA", at positions 338 to 795 of the family's 1533-position model. The record is from RNAcentral.
CCUACGGGAGGCAGCAGUGAGGAAUAUUGGUCAAUGGACGAGAGUCUGAACCAGCCAAGUAGCGUGAAGGAUGACUGCCCUAUGGGUUGUAAACUUCGUUUAUAUGGGAAUAAAAUGUUCCACGUGUGGGAUUUUGUAUGUAUCAUAUGAAUAAGGAUCGGCUAACUCCGUGCCGGCAGCCGCGGUAAUACGGAGGAUCCGAGCGUUAUCCGGAUUUAUUGGGUUUAAAGGGAGCGUAGGUGGAAUGUUAAGUCAGUUGUGAAAGUUUGCGGCUCAACCGUAAAAUUGCAGUUGAAACUGGCAGUCUGGAGUACAGUAGAGGUGGGCGGAAUUCGUGGUGUAGCGGUGAAAUGCUUAGAUAUUACGAAGAACUCCGAUGGCGAAGGCAGUUCACUGGACUGCAACUGACACUGAGGCUCGAAAGUGUGGGUAUCAAACAGGAUUAGAUACCCCGGUAGUC